GCCCAGGUGUGGUGGCUCAUGCCUGUAAUCCCAUCGCUUUGGGAGGCUGAGGUGGGAAGAUCACUUGAGGCCAGGAGUUCAGGAUCAGCCUGGGCAACAGAGUGAGACUCUAUUAAAAAAAAAAUUAUAUAGAUAAAAAAUGUUUUUAGUUUUUGUUUGUUUGUUUGUACAGAUGGGGGCUCCUUAUGUUGCCCAGGCUGAUCCUGAACUCCUGGCCUCAAGUGAUCUUCCCACCUCAG
Molecule: non-coding RNA, 239 nt
Organism: Macaca mulatta (Rhesus monkey)
Lineage: Eukaryota; Metazoa; Chordata; Mammalia; Primates; Cercopithecidae
Source: Rfam